Molecule: ribosomal RNA, 253 nt
Filed under: uncultured bacterium
Lineage: Bacteria
Description: partial 16S ribosomal RNA
Rfam family: Bacterial small subunit ribosomal RNA
Source: RNAcentral
UACGUAGGGGGCAAGCGUUGUCCGGAUUUAUUGGGCGUAAAGAGCGUGUAGGCGGCCAGACAGGUCCGUUGUGAAAACUCGAGGCUCAACCUCGAGACGCCGAUGGAAACCGUCUGGCUAGAGUCCGGAAGAGGAGAGUGGAAUUCCUGGUGUAGCGGUGAAAUGCGCAGAUAUCAGGAAGAACACCCGUGGCUAAGGCGGCUCUCUAGUACGGUACUGACGCUGAGGCGCGAAAGCGUGGGGAGCGAACAGG